GCGGCAGACGGGUGAGUAACGCGUGGGGAUCUGCCCGAUGGUACGGAAUAAUUCCGGGAAACUGGGACUAAUACCGUAUGUGCCCGCAAGGGGAAAGAUUUAUCGCCAUCGGAUGAACCCGCGUCGGAUUAGCUAGUUGGUGUGGUAAAGGCGCACCAAGGCGACGAUCCGUAGCUGGUCUGAGAGGAUGAUCAGCCACACUGGGACUGAGACACGGCCCAGACUCCUACGGGAGGCAGCAGUGGGGAAUAUUGGACAAUGGGCGCAAGCCUGAUCCAGCCAUGCCGCGUGAGUGAUGAAGGCCUUAGGGUUGUAAAGCUCUUUCGCCGGUGAAGAUAAUGACGGUAACCGGAGAAGAAGCCCCGGCUAACUUCGUGCCAGCAGCCGCGGUAAUACGAAGGGGGCUAGCGUUGUUCGGAUUUACUGGGCGUAAAGCGCACGUAGGCGGAUCGUUAAGUCGGGGGUGAAAUCCUGGAGCUCAACUCCAGAACUGCCUUCGAUACUGGNGAUCUUGAGUCCGGAAGAGGUGAGUGGAACUCCUAGUGUGGAGGUGNAAUUCGUAGAUAUUNGGAAGAACACCAGUGGCGAAGGCGGCUCACUGGUCCGGUACUGACGCUGAGGUGCGAAAGCGUGGGGAGCAAAC
RNAcentral lists this ribosomal RNA (643 nucleotides) under uncultured Xanthobacteraceae bacterium. Its description in RNAcentral is "bacterial SSU rRNA". It matches the Rfam family "Bacterial small subunit ribosomal RNA", at positions 95 to 773 of the family's 1533-position model. Lineage: Bacteria; Pseudomonadati; Pseudomonadota; Alphaproteobacteria; Hyphomicrobiales; Xanthobacteraceae. The record is from RNAcentral.